This 215-nucleotide unclassified non-coding RNA is filed under the name Hevea brasiliensis (rubber tree). Lineage: Eukaryota; Viridiplantae; Streptophyta; Magnoliopsida; Malpighiales; Euphorbiaceae. The record is from RNAcentral.
UUCACUUUAAUGUCUCUCUUUCCUUAAAGGAAGCAUAAAAAGUUAAAAAAUACACUAUUAAUUGAGACAAAGAUGACUGUUCAAUGUUCAAUUAUUCAUACACCAUUUGUACUGUUAAGAAAGUAACAUGAUAAUGCUAUGCUCAAGUUCUCAGGCAAGGAGGAUUCUACUCAAGGAUCUGCCACCAAGAAUAGAAACAUAGAAGAAUGUUCAAG